AGGGCUGCAUGAUCUGACCUCACCAGAUCUCACCAUCGCCUCUGAGUGGACUUACUGUGAGACGGACAUCGACCCUGCUCACCGUAAGUACUCACAGCUGCAGGCCGCCAUCCGCUACCUGCUGGGGAAGGAGCCUGACCUCGAGUGUGACGAGGUGCUGCUGUCGCAGACGCUGUUCGACGCCGUGGUCACAGCUCCACUUGAGGCCUACUGGAACACCCUGAUGCUG
Molecule: non-coding RNA, 229 nt
Organism: Neolamprologus brichardi
Lineage: Eukaryota; Metazoa; Chordata; Actinopteri; Cichliformes; Cichlidae
Source: RefSeq, a predicted model, not a curated record